AUUGCUUCUCUGCAUUUUGACUAAGAUCAAGUUUCAUAUCUGUUCUUAUCAGUUUAGUAUUUGAUUCUUCCUCUAUCCAAAUAUGCAGUUGAAUUGGCUGUAUCAUAACACCU
Oryctolagus cuniculus (rabbit) is the source of this 113-nucleotide small nuclear RNA. Its record names the gene U2. It matches the Rfam family "U2 spliceosomal RNA". From Rfam's summary of the family: U2 is a small nuclear RNA (snRNA) component of the spliceosome (involved in pre-mRNA splicing). NCBI's taxonomy places the organism in Eukaryota, Metazoa, Chordata, Mammalia, Lagomorpha, Leporidae. The record is from Ensembl.